This is a long non-coding RNA of Thalassophryne amazonica, 542 nucleotides long. RefSeq lists it as uncharacterized. Lineage: Eukaryota; Metazoa; Chordata; Actinopteri; Batrachoidiformes; Batrachoididae. The record is from RefSeq and is a predicted model, not a curated record. The transcript is spliced from 3 exons.
UGUGGCUGAACAGGCUCCUCUGGUUGCUGAUGACGGUGUGCAGAAGGUGACAGACAUCAUCCAUAAUGUCCAGUAGUAUGUCCAGUGUGGUCUUCUCUGCCACUGUCUUUAGAGAGUCCAGCUUUAUGCCAACCACGGAGCCAGCCCGCCUGAUCAGUUUGUCCAGCCUGGAUGUGCUGCCCCCCACCAGCACACCACAGUGUAAAAGAGGACGCUGACUACCACAGACUGGUAGAAAAUCCACAGGAGUUUCCCGCAGAUGUUAAAGGACCGCAGCCUCCUCAGGAAGUACAGUCUACUUUGUCCCUUCCUACAGGUGGUUGUGUGGGAUGUCCAAUCCAAUUUGCUGUCCAGCCACAGCCCGAUGUACUUGUAGGAAUCCACAGCCUCCACCUCAACUCCUUCGAUCAGAACUGGUUGUGGACUUGGUCUGGACUUCCCAAAGUCAAUGACCAGCUCCUUUGUCUUCAAGGUGUUGAGGUGUAGAUGGUUUGUGUGGCACUAGACAGCAAAGUCCCUCACUCAGGGUUAUGAGAUGAUUU